CCUACGGGAGGCAGCAGUGGGGAAUAUUGCACAAUGGGCGCAAGCCUGAUGCAGCCAUGCCGCGUGUGUGAAGAAGGCCUUCGGGUUGUAAAGCACUUUCAGCGGGGAGGAAGGCGUUAAGGUUAAUAACCUUGGCGAUUGACGUUACCCGCAGAAGAAGCACCGGCUAACUCCGUGCCAGCAGCCGCGGUAAUACGGAGGGUGCAAGCGUUAAUCGGAAUUACUGGGCGUAAAGCGCACGCAGGCGGUCUGUCAAGUCGGAUGUGAAAUCCCCGGGCUCAACCUGGGAACUGCAUUCGAAACUGGCAGGCUAGAGUCUUGUAGAGGGGGGUAGAAUUCCAGGUGUAGCGGGGAAAUGCGUAGAGAUCUGGAGGAGUACCGGUGGCGAAGGCGGCCCCCUGGACAAAGACUGACGCUCAGGUGCGAAAGCGUGGGGAGCAAACAGGAUUAGAUACCCGGGUAGUC
Molecule: ribosomal RNA, 465 nt
Filed under: uncultured Klebsiella sp.
Lineage: Bacteria; Pseudomonadati; Pseudomonadota; Gammaproteobacteria; Enterobacterales; Enterobacteriaceae
Description: bacterial SSU rRNA
Rfam family: Bacterial small subunit ribosomal RNA
Source: RNAcentral